RNAcentral lists this long non-coding RNA (219 nucleotides) under Phoenix dactylifera (date palm). Its description in RNAcentral is "long non-coding RNA (PDAC_LNC003297)". Lineage: Eukaryota; Viridiplantae; Streptophyta; Magnoliopsida; Arecales; Arecaceae. The record is from RNAcentral.
GAUGAGAGCACAAAAGUGCGACCUACAUGUUACUAAAAUUAGUGUUAUUGCUAACUAAUAAUGAUAAAUUCACUAGAUUAAUAUUAUAUUUGGGUUUAACAUAGAUUAGUAUAAAUUAAGAGAUAAAAUGCACAUUGAGUACAAAUUUGACUUCAAAUCGGGUCCGAGUCGGGUUCGGGUCCGAGUCGGGUUCGGGUCCGAAUCGGCUCCAUUUCUUUU